AUGGCCUUGUGCUGGCGAUGCAUCAUUCAAAUCUCUGCCCUAUCAACUUUUGACGGUACGGUAUUGGCCUACCGUGGUGGUAACGGGUAACGGAGGAUUAGGGUUUGAUUCCGGAGAGGGAGCCUGAGAAACGGCUACCACAUCCAAGGAAGGCAGCAGGCGCGCAAAUUACCCAAUCUCAAUACGAGGAGGUAGUGACAAAAUAUAGCAAUGUCGGGUCUUUUGAUCUGGCAAUUGAAAUGAGUACAGUUUAAAUCUUUUAACGAGGAUCAAUUGGAGGGCAAGUCUGGUGCCAGCAGCCGCGGUAAUUCCAGCUCCAAUAGCGUAUAUUCAUGUUGCUGCAGCUAAAACGCUCGUAGUCGAAUUUUAGAGCGCUGCGUAGUUGGUCUGUUCUUUGAAUGUGUACUGACUUGCGCGCUCUCUGUUCCAAGUAGGACAGUGUUCUUUAUUGAGCGCUGUUUUGUUUGGAAAGUUACUUUGAAAAAAUUAGAGUGUUCAAAGCAGGCAUUUCGCCUUGAAUACAUUAGCAUGGAAUAAUAAAAUAGGACUUUGGCCCUAUUUUGUUGGUUUAUAGAGCCGGAGUAAUGAUGAAUAGGGGCAGUCGGGGGCGUUGAUAUUCAACUGUCAGAGGUGAAAUUCUUGGAUUUGUUGAAGAUCAACUUCUGCGAAAGCAUUCGCCAAGGAUGCUUUCAUUGAUCAAGAACGAAAGUUAGGGGAUCGAAGAUGAUUAGAUACCGUCGUAGUCCUAACUAUAAAUGAUGCCAACUAGGGAUUGGUGGGUGUUUAAUUAUGACCCCAUCAGCAUCUUCCGAGAAAUCAAAGUUUUUGGGUUCUGGGGGGAGUAUGGUCG
Molecule: ribosomal RNA, 850 nt
Filed under: uncultured fungus
Lineage: Eukaryota; Fungi
Description: bacterial SSU rRNA
Rfam family: Eukaryotic small subunit ribosomal RNA
Source: RNAcentral